RNAcentral lists this ribosomal RNA (225 nucleotides) under uncultured bacterium. RNAcentral's name for it is "partial 16S ribosomal RNA". It matches the Rfam family "Bacterial small subunit ribosomal RNA", at positions 29 to 236 of the family's 1533-position model. The record is from RNAcentral.
AGCGAACGCUGGCGGCGUACUUAACACAUGCAAGUCGAACGAGGAUCGCUACGUGAGCAAUCAUGCGGCGGUUCUAGUGGCGUACGGGUGAGUAACACGUGGGCAACCUGCCCUGGAGCCUGGGAUACCCUCUCGAAAGGGAGGCUAAUACCGGAUACGUUCCCCGGGUCGCGAGAUCUGGGGAGGAAAGGUGGCGCAAGCUGCCGCUCUUGGAGGGGCUCGCGG